AUAUCUACCACUGUAGCUUCUGUCAACCUUAACUUUAAACCUUACAGAAGAAUCAAUAUCUUCUGAUUUGAGAGUUUCCCCCACAUGGUAAAAAUAAAAUGUGAAAUUUCAGUAAAUGGCAUGAAAAAUUUUAGUAGUACCAGGAAGUUUUCAGAAACUAGAGCUUUUACACAAUAUGGAAGUUUUAAUGUUUUGAAGGUUCAGUAAAUUAUGUAGUGUACAAAAGUGAAGUCUAAAUUACCCACUCAGAAGGGUAACCCUAUAGCCCACAUGUCUGGAUCCAUGUAUGCAGAUGGACAGAUACACUUCAUUUCUUCUGGGAAGCUGAGUUCUAAAAAGCUAUCACUCAGAACAGACAGUUUUAUGAUUGCAUAAGAAGAAAAGGAAAGAUGACAGAGUUGCUAUAAAAAUGAAAGGCCUUUUGGUGUAUUAACAGCUGAAAACAUUACAGCUUAAAUGAAGAUGUGAAACAAAAAAUCAGCUUAAAACUGCAAAUUAAAAAAAAGAAAACUUGUGCAGAAGGUUUGAAGCAUAUGGACACCCACCCAGUUUGCAAAGAGGGCAAUGGGAGCCCCAGACUUUAGCUUAUUAAAGAUGACCUUUCCCCUCUCUAAAAUUUCAAAGCUGACGUUUCAAGUGCUGAGCAGACUGUGUGCCAUAUGUAACAUGACCUCAGCUCCACUCUGCCUGAGCACUGAUGGCAUCACUAAUGAGAGGUGAAAGGUCUUUUUCUUGCAGCUUUUUCAGAAACCCACCAACUCUUGCCUGUGAAGUAAGGCCCCUCCCUCCCCCCAACCCUUGAUUUCAAGAGAACUGCAUUUAAUACACAGCCUCAAAACACUUUUAUUACCGGUCGAUUUGCUUAUAGCCACAGCCAAAUGGCAGGAUGUACAAUAACAUGCAGAAGAAAAUAUUUAUUUUGACUCACAAGCCAAAGGGAUUAAGAGAACAUUGUAUUAACCUUGCCUUUCAUCUAUGUUUUAAAGGGAAAUUCUCCAGAGGCGUCCAUUGAAGUUCUGUUUUUUUAAAUAUAAAGUGUAUCAAAGACUUUUAGGAGCCCAGGUGUGUGUUUAUCUGACUAUCUUUCAAAAAGCUGCUUCAGAGACUGCAAAAAGAUGUAUGUUCAGGAAUCUAUUUCAGGCAUUCUUACCAGCCAGCUAGUUACCCGACCCCUACUCCCUUCCCUGGCUUCCCGGCCCCCCACUCCCCCUUGCUGCUUCGAAACAAAAUAGCUUCUUUCCAAGCAGGUUGUUAUCAUAUUCAUGGCAUGGUCAAUUUCCGUUUGCCAAGAAAAUAUUUAGGCUGAUCAAAGACAUUAGAAAAUCGGAUGAAUAGAAACAGACGUUCCCACAAGAGAAGCGUUUCUCAACGUGAAGAGGCAGGCGGAUUGCAGCCCACCCAGUUACUCCUAGGAAAUAGCUCUCCUGCUAAAGGCAGAACUAUGGGGCCACCUGGAUUCUACCGGAAGGGCUAUGGAAGAGUCCGGAAAUUCACGUGGAGACUGGAGCUUGGGACUCUCCGAUGGCGGACAUGUGAGAUGAUCGGUUCUAGUAUCUAUCAGCAAACCUAGAAGGCCUUUAAUUACAUCCAUUAACACAGAGGGACCUUUCAAGACUGAAGAUACAACAGCAAGUGGAUGGGAAAGAACCUUGACAACACAAAACUCAUUUACUAAUGGACUGGUUUUGGAUUUCUCUCUUUCGGGUCCGCAUAUCGCCCCGCCUGAGCCCUCGGCCUAUCCAGAGCUCGCGGGGAGCAGCGUCCCCCAGGAGGCAGGUGGGAGGCUGCUCCGGCGCCGCGCCGCCCUCGGAGCCCGGCAUCCGGAGGGGUCGAGGGCACCUGGAGUUUCCGACCAAGUAAAGGAAAAAGAUGAACGUUGACACUUCAGCCAGGAUUUGGGAUCCUCACUGCCCCAGAGCGACGACGCUAAUUUAUUGAUGAAACACCUUCCAAAGCCCUUCCCUCCUAAAUAUCUGUAGGUAGAGUAGAAUCCUCGCUGUCGUUCUUGAUGGCAAAAGAAUUCCAAGAAAGCGGGCCAGGAGCCUCCAAGCAGCUCGCUCCAAGCCAGAAGGGAAAUAAGUGGGUCUCAGCCAGAGGACACAAGGCCUUGUUUUAACCCGACCUAGAAACUCUAACACCACCUGAUGCCUCCGCAUCAACCUUUCCACAGACCAGUUGUGUGCAUCCGGCGGUUACCUGCACGGCGGAGGCACAAAAGACCAGAAACCUGGCGCUGGUAGCCCCUUUCUAGCUGUGUUACCCUGGGGACCCACGAAGCGGCGAGGGCAGCAGCGGUGCUGCUCCUUGCCUUUAAAUCUCCGACAAAUCUCUGUUUUCUUGUGAUUUGCAUUGACAGCAAAAGGUUUUAAGUUACUAGAACAACUCAAACCUUUCUGUGUGCGAUUUAAAAUGGAUCAUUUGGUUUAUGUGGUUUGUAAAUUCAUGUCAUUUUACCUCUUUUAGUGGUUUGCAGUGAAAGGUUCCAUUUUGGGAAACCUUAUAUAUCCGAGCCAAUAAUUAACAUUUAUAAAAAUUGGUUUCCCUAACCGAGGGAUCGAAAUAGCAGGUAGGCUCGUUGGUACAAAGCGAAUAGCACAUUUCCUUUCUAAUCGUGCGAUCUACUGGACUGAACACUAGGAGAGAAAGGCUGGCGGGCCAGGGCACGGCCUCCAAGGACGAGCACCACUUCUUAUCAACCCCGGUGCCCGCAGUCGCCGCAUCCGC
Molecule: long non-coding RNA, 2724 nt
Organism: Bos taurus (domestic cattle)
Lineage: Eukaryota; Metazoa; Chordata; Mammalia; Artiodactyla; Bovidae
Source: Ensembl